GAGGUACUCCCUCCGUUCUAAAUUACUUGUCUUAGAUUUAUCUAGAUACAGAUGUAUCUAGACUCAUUUUAAUAUUAGAUAUAUUUAUAUCUAAACAAAUCUAAGACAAGUAAUUCAGAACGGAGGGAGUAUGAC
Triticum urartu is the source of this 135-nucleotide non-coding RNA. The record is from Rfam. Lineage: Eukaryota; Viridiplantae; Streptophyta; Magnoliopsida; Poales; Poaceae.